UGGGGAAUAUUGGACAAUGGGGGCAACCCUGAUCCAGCAAUGCCGCGUGUGUGAAGAAGGUCUUCGGAUUGUAAAGCACUUUCGACGGGGACGAUGAUGACGGUACCCGUAGAAGAAGCCCCGGCUAACUUCGUGCCAGCAGCCGCGGUAAUACGAAGGGGGCUAGCGUUGCUCGGAAUGACUGGGCGUAAAGGGCGUGUAGGCGGUUUGUACAGUCAGAUGUGAAAUCCCCGGGCUUAACCUGGGAGCUGCAUUUGAUACGUGCAGACUAGAGUGUGAGAGAGGGUUGUGGAAUUCCCAGUGUAGAGGUGAAAUUCGUAGAUAUUGGGAAGAACACCGGUGGCGAAGGCGGCAACCCUGGCUC
Molecule: ribosomal RNA, 364 nt
Filed under: uncultured Acetobacter sp.
Lineage: Bacteria; Pseudomonadati; Pseudomonadota; Alphaproteobacteria; Acetobacterales; Acetobacteraceae
Description: bacterial SSU rRNA
Rfam family: Bacterial small subunit ribosomal RNA
Source: RNAcentral